UCCUACGGGGGGCAGCAGUGAGGAAUUUUGGACAAUGGGCGCAAGCCUGAUCCAGCCAUGCCGCGUGAGUGAAGAAGGCCUUCGGGUUGUAAAGCUCUUUCGGCCGGGAAGAAAUCGCAUGGGUUAAUACCCUGUGCGGAUGACGGUACCGGCAUAAGAAGCACCGGCUAACUACGUGCCAGCAGCCGCGGUAAUACGUAGGGUGCGAGCGUUAAUCGGAAUUACUGGGCGUAAAGCGUGCGCAGGCGGUUUGUUAAGAUAGGCGUGAAAUCCCCGGGCUCAACCUGGGAACUGCGCUUAUGACUGGCAAGCUAGAGUACGGCAGAGGGGGGUGGAAUUCCACGUGUAGCAGUGAAAUGCGUAGAGAUGUGGAGGAACACCAAUGGCGAAGGCAGCCCCCUGGGUCGAUACUGACGCUCAUGCACGAAAGCGUGGGUAGCAAACAGGAUUAGAUACCCGGGUAGUCC
This 467-nucleotide ribosomal RNA is filed under the name uncultured bacterium. RNAcentral describes it as "bacterial SSU rRNA". It matches the Rfam family "Bacterial small subunit ribosomal RNA", at positions 337 to 796 of the family's 1533-position model. The record is from RNAcentral.